GAUGAAGAACGUAGCGAAAUGCGAUAAGUAAUGUGAAUUGCAGAAUUCAGUGAAUCAUCGAAUCUUUGAACGCACAUUGCGCCCCCUGGUAUUCCGGGGGGCAUGCCUGUUCGAGCGUCAUUUCACCACUCAAGCCUCGCUUGGUAUUGGGCAUCGCGGUCCGCCGCGCGCCUCAAAUCGACCGGCUGGGUCUUCUGUCCCCUAAGCGUUGUGGAAACUAUUCGCUAAAGGGUGUUCGGGAGGCUACGCCGUAAAACAACCCCAUUUCUAAGGUUGACCUCGGAUCAGGUAGGGAUACCCGCUGAACUUAAGCAUAUCAAAAGCGGAGA
Molecule: unclassified non-coding RNA, 329 nt
Filed under: soil metagenome
Description: partial contains 5.8S ribosomal RNA, internal transcribed spacer 2, and large subunit ribosomal RNA
Rfam family: 5.8S ribosomal RNA (bases 1-120)
Source: RNAcentral